CAGCAUGACUGUAGCAAUACAGUUGAUGGCGACCGGCAAACGGGUGCGGAACACGUACACAACCUUCCUUUUAGUGGAGAAUAGCCCAGGGAAACUUGGAUUAAUACUCCGUAACAUAUAGAAGUGGCAUCACUUUUAUAUUAUAGCAGCAAUGCGCUAGAAGAUGGGUGUGCGGCUGAUUAGAUAGUUGGCGGGGUAACGGCCCACCAAGUCGACGAUCAGUAACUGGUGUGAGAGCACGACCAGUCACACGGGCACUGAGACACGGGCCCGACUCCUACGGGAGGCAGCAGUAAGGAAUAUUGGUCAAUGGACGCAAGUCUGAACCAGCCAUGCCGCGUGGAGGAUGAAGGUCCUCUGGAUUGUAAACCUCUUUUAUCUGGGAAGAAACCCAUCUUUUCUAAGAUGGCUGACGGUACCAGGUGAAUAAGCACCGGCUAACUCCGUGCCAGCAGCCGCGGUAAUACGGAGGGUGCAAGCGUUAUCCGGAUUCACUGGGUUUAAAGGGUGCGUAGGUGGGCAAGUAAGUCAGUGGUGAAAUCUCCGGGCUUAACCCGGAAACUGCCAUUGAUACUAUUUGUCUUGAAUACUGUGGAGGUCAGCGGAAUAUGUCAUGUAGCGGUGAAAUGCUUAGAUAUGACAUAGAACACCAAUUGCGAAGGCAGCUGGCUACACAAAUAUUGACACUGGGGCACGAAAGCGUGGGGAUCAAACAGGAUUAGAUACCCUGGUAGUCCACGCCCAAAACUAUGGAUACUCGACAUUUGCGAUAAACUGCAAGUGUCUGAGCGAAAGCAUUAAGUAUCCCACCUGGGAAGUACGAUCGCAAGAUUGAAACUC
RNAcentral lists this ribosomal RNA (840 nucleotides) under uncultured Flavobacteriaceae bacterium. RNAcentral describes it as "bacterial SSU rRNA". It matches the Rfam family "Bacterial small subunit ribosomal RNA", at positions 70 to 902 of the family's 1533-position model. The record is from RNAcentral. Lineage: Bacteria; Pseudomonadati; Bacteroidota; Flavobacteriia; Flavobacteriales; Flavobacteriaceae.